AUUGAACGCUGGCGGCAGGCCUAACACAUGCAAGUCGAGCGGUAACAGAGAGAAGCUUGCUUCUCUGCUGAAGAGCGGCGGACGGGUGAGUAAUGCCUAGGAAUCUACCUAGUAGUGGGGGAUAGCUCGGGGAAACUCGAAUUAAUACCGCAUACGUCCUACGGGAGAAAGGGGGCAACUUGUUGCUCUCGCUAUUAGAUGAGCCUAAGUCGGAUUAGCUAGUUGGUGGGGUAAAGGCCUACCAAGGCGACGAUCUGUAGCUGGUCUGAGAGGAUGAUCAGCCACACCGGGACUGAGACACGGCCCGGACUCCUACGGGAGGCAGCAGUGGGGAAUAUUGGACAAUGGGGGCAACCCUGAUCCAGCCAUGCCGCGUGUGUGAAGAAGGCCUUUUGGUUGUAAAGCACUUUAAGCAGUGAAGAAGACCUAACGGUUAAUACCCGUUAGCGAUGACAUUAGCUGCAGAAUAAGCACCGGCUAACUCUGUGCCAGCCGCCGCCGUAAGAC
This 507-nucleotide ribosomal RNA is filed under the name uncultured bacterium. RNAcentral's name for it is "bacterial SSU rRNA". It matches the Rfam family "Bacterial small subunit ribosomal RNA", at positions 30 to 526 of the family's 1533-position model. The record is from RNAcentral.